Molecule: ribosomal RNA, 276 nt
Filed under: Gammarus cf. balcanicus GcfBAL16a
Lineage: Eukaryota; Metazoa; Arthropoda; Malacostraca; Amphipoda; Gammaridae
Also listed under: 1 other name
Description: partial 16S ribosomal RNA
Source: RNAcentral
GCUAAGGUAGCAUAGUCAUUUGUUGUUUAAUUGAUAACUGGAAUGAAAGGUUAAACUAAUUUAUUAAGUUUGUAGAACUAGAUAGUAGAUUAAAGUUAAGGUAAGAAUUCUUUAAUAGUCUAGGGGACGAUAAGACCCUAGAAGCUUAACAAGCAUAGUGCUGGGUUUGUUUUAGAAGUUAGUUUGUUUUACUGGGGCGGUAAAAUUAAUUAAGCUAUUUAUUGUUUAGAGGAUCCUUUAUAUAAAGAAAUAAUGGAUAAGUUACUCUAGGGAUAA